RNAcentral lists this unclassified non-coding RNA (296 nucleotides) under Hevea brasiliensis (rubber tree). Lineage: Eukaryota; Viridiplantae; Streptophyta; Magnoliopsida; Malpighiales; Euphorbiaceae. The record is from RNAcentral.
AGCAGCUUCCUUCAGAAAAAUUGUACACAGUACCAAAACCCGAAGGCAAGCUUCACGGAUCAUGGGUAGCUCCAUCCUAAGCAUCUCACAGUCUUUUAUCGGAUCAAGAUUUUCAAUAUACUUGAGCUCAUCAUCUGAAAAUGGAAUUGAUGCUUGUGGCCAAUGAAUCCACUCGAAGUACGGAUCCUCUAAAGUCUCUGGCAAACAAAGACCGUGAUCUAUAGGAAUAAGCUCUACUUGUCCAAACCUUCCUAUUCCAUCAAGUUUCCGAACUAAGAGAUUCCCAGCAUGCCUAU